GCACUUACCUGGCAGCGGAGAUACCACGAUCAUGUAGGUGGUUUUCCCAGGGCGAGGCUCAUCCAUUGCACACCAGUACUGACCCCUGCAAUUUCACCAAAUGUAGGAAACUCUGCUGCAUGAUUUGUGGCAGUGGGGGACCUCAUUUGCACUCUCCCCUG
Molecule: small nuclear RNA, 161 nt
Organism: Lemur catta (Ring-tailed lemur)
Lineage: Eukaryota; Metazoa; Chordata; Mammalia; Primates; Lemuridae
Product: U1 spliceosomal RNA
Exons: 1
Source: RefSeq, a predicted model, not a curated record